GACGAACGCUGGCGGCGUGCCUAAUACAUGCAAGUCGAACGGUCUUUUCUAUGGAAGCUUGCUUCCACUGAGAAGAUAGUGGCGAACGGGUGAGUAACACGUGGGUAACCUGCCCAUAAGAGGGGGAUAACAUCCGGAAACGGGUGCUAAUACCGCAUAGUUUUCUUGAUCGCAUGAUUGAGAAAGGAAGACGGCCUUUGUGCUGUCGCUUAUGGAUGGACCCGCGGCGUAUUAGUUAGUUGGUGAGGUAACGGCUCACCAAGACGAUGAUACGUAGCCGACCUGAGAGGGUGAUCGGCCACAUUGGGACUGAGACACGGCCCAAAACUCCUACGGGAGGCAGCAGUAGGGAAUCUUCCGCAAUGGACGAAAGUCUGACGGAGCAACGCCGCGUGAGUGAAGAAGGUUUUCGGAUCGUAAAACUCUGUUGUCAGAGAAGAACAAGUUGGAGAGUAACUGCUCCAGCCUUGACGGUAUCUGACCAGAAAGCCACGGCUAACUA
This 502-nucleotide ribosomal RNA is filed under the name uncultured bacterium. RNAcentral's name for it is "bacterial SSU rRNA". It matches the Rfam family "Bacterial small subunit ribosomal RNA", at positions 28 to 503 of the family's 1533-position model. The record is from RNAcentral.